RNAcentral lists this small RNA (284 nucleotides) under Arabidopsis thaliana (thale cress). Its description in RNAcentral is "ATSL039140". Lineage: Eukaryota; Viridiplantae; Streptophyta; Magnoliopsida; Brassicales; Brassicaceae. The record is from RNAcentral.
UAUACCAUAAAUCCCAAAACCUAAAAUCUUAUCCCUAAACCCGAAAACCCUAAAACCUAAACCCUAAACCCUAAACCCUAAACUCUUAACCCUAAACCCUUAAACCUAAACCCUAAACUCUUAAACCUAAACCCUAAACCUUAAACCAUAGAUCCCAAACUUUAAAACCUAAGUCCUACUUUAGGCUUCCGGAAUCCGGUUGCGGUUCUAGUUUUUAUGCUCAAUGAUACACAAAGCAUCUAGUCAUAUUUGACUACAAAUCCGCUAACCAAGCUUAUUCUUGA